AUGAAAGAGCUUGGUGGCAGUUUAAGAGUCAGAAAUGUCGAGAAUGUCACUGGAAAGAAUGAAGCCUUAGAGUCGAAGCUAUAUCAGAAAAGUCAUCUUGGAAGCUUGGCCCUUGUCUGGAGUUGCAAUAAUGGCAAGAAUGCAGAUGACAGUUUACAGUUGGAGAUUCUAGAAGGUUUGAUGCCACCGCCUCAACUGAAAGGCCUUGAGAUCAAGGGUUAUAAAUCUGCCACGUAUCCAAGUUGGUUACUUGAGGGUUCGUAUUUUGAGAAUUUGGAAUCUUUUAAGCUUGUCGAUUGCAGUGCCUUAGAAGACCUGCCACUCAAUACUGAGCUCUUCAGGCAUUGCUCAAAACUAGAGCUCGAGAGUGUCUCGACUCUGAAAACGUUAUCGUGUCUUCCAGCAACCCUUGCAUACUUAUCAAUUAGCAGUUGCCCACUGCUUAUAUUUAUUACCAGUGAUGAGCUAGAACAGCAUGAUCAGAGGGAAAACAUCAUGAGAACAGACUACUUGGCAUCACAACUUGCUUCGAUAUGGGAGGUGGAUUCUGUAUUGGGAAUUAGGGAAGUAUUAUCGUCUGAACAUUCAUCUCUGAAGCAAAUGAUGGCAUUAAUGGAUGCUGACAUGUCACAUCUUCAAACCAUUGCAAGUGCUCUAGAAAGAGAGAACGGCGAGGUAAUGCUGAAAGAUGAUAUAAUUAAAGCAUGGAUAUGUUGCCACGAGCAGAGGCUGAGAUUCAUUUAUGGAAGAAGCAUCAACUUGCCGUUGGUUCCACCAUCAGGUCUUCGCGAACUUCGUCUUUCUUCAUGCAGUGUUACAGAUGGGGCAUUAGCUGUUUGCCUUGGCGGUCUGACGUCACUGAGAAAUUUGUUCUUAAUGGAGAUCAUGACUUUAACUACACUUCCGUCGCAAGUGGUCCUCCAACAUUUGACAAAGCUGGACUUUUUGUUCAUCAGAUAUUGCUGGUGCCUCAAGUCAUUAGGAGGCUUACGAGCUGCUACCUCUCUUUCGAAAGUUAGAUUGAUUUCCUGCCCUUCUUUAGACUUGACACAUGGAGCAGGUUUAUUGCCGUCGUCUCUUGAGGAGCUCUGUAUAUACCAGUGCAUGGUUGCAGAUAAUUUCUUCAGUAGUGACUUGCCACACCUGAAAAUUCUUAGCAUGUAUGGCUGCAGAAGCUCCACUUCCUUGUCUAUCGGUCAUCUGACUUCCCUUGUAUCCUUAUCACUGGGACGUUGCCCUGAUCUGUGCUUUCUCGAAGGCCUGCCAUUCUUGCAACUUCACGACGUACAUUUGACAGAUGUCCCGAAGCUCAGCGCGAACUGCAUUUCACAGUUUCGGGUGCAGCAAUCACUCUAUGUUAGCAGCCUCGUGAUGCUCAACCAGAUGCUCUCGGAUGAAGGUUCUGUAGUUCCACCAUUUCUGUCUCUCGAAGGAUGCAAGGAAUCAUCCGUUUCAUUUGAAGAAUCUGCAAAAUUCACAUCCGUCAAGUGCCUUAGAUUAGGUGAGUGUGAAAUGUGGUCCCUACCAGGAAAUCUGAAGUGCUUCUCUAGUCUGACGACACUCGAUAUCUAUGACUGCCCCAACAUAUCAUCUUUAUCAGAUUUGCCAUCCUCCCUCCAACAUAUAUGUGUUUGGGGUUGUGAACGCUUGAACGAGAGCUGCCAAGCGCCUGACGGAGAAAGCUGGCCAAAAAUUGCGCAUAUCCGCUGGAAGGAUUUCAGAUGA
This 1725-nucleotide ribosomal RNA is filed under the name Triticum aestivum (bread wheat). Its description in RNAcentral is "partial small subunit ribosomal RNA". Lineage: Eukaryota; Viridiplantae; Streptophyta; Magnoliopsida; Poales; Poaceae. The record is from RNAcentral.